GCCUACGGGGCGCAGCAGUGGUGAAUAUUGCGCAAUGGGCGAAAGCCUGACGCAGCGACGCCGCAUGAGGGAUGAAGGUCUUCGGAUCGUAAACCUCUGUCAGCAGGGAAGAACGGUCACUGUGCUAAUCAGCAGUGAAUUGACGGUACCUGCAAAGGAAGCACCGGCUAACUCCGUGCCAGCAGCCGCGGUAAUACGGAGGGUGCGAGCGUUAAUCGGAAUUACUGGGCGUAAAGCGCUCGUAGGCGGUAUGCCAAGUCAAGGGUGAAAUCCCCGCGCUCAACGUGGGAACUGCCUUUGAAACU
Molecule: ribosomal RNA, 305 nt
Filed under: uncultured bacterium
Lineage: Bacteria
Description: bacterial SSU rRNA
Rfam family: Bacterial small subunit ribosomal RNA
Source: RNAcentral